UAUAUGGUCCCUUUAGGGACCACAUAAUUUUUAAAAGUUAUGAGUA
Non-coding RNA from Papio anubis (olive baboon), 46 nucleotides. The record is from Rfam. Lineage: Eukaryota; Metazoa; Chordata; Mammalia; Primates; Cercopithecidae.